RNAcentral lists this ribosomal RNA (250 nucleotides) under uncultured bacterium. RNAcentral's name for it is "partial 16S ribosomal RNA". It matches the Rfam family "Bacterial small subunit ribosomal RNA", at positions 524 to 772 of the family's 1533-position model. The record is from RNAcentral.
UACGUAGGGUGCAAGCAUUAUCCGGAGUGACUGGGCGUAAAGAGUUGCGUAGGUGGCUUUGUAAGCGAAUAGUGAAAUCAGGUGGCUCAACCACGUGGCUAUUAUUCGAACUGCAAGGCUCGAGAAUGGUAGAGGUAACUGGAAUUUCUUGUGUAGGAGUGAAAUCCGUAGAUAUAAGAAGGAACACCAAUGGCGUAGGCAGGUUACUGGACCAUUUCUGACACUGAGGCACGAAAGCGUGGGGAGCGAA